GAUGAACGCUGGCGGCGCGCCUAACACAUGCAAGUCGAACGGCACCCCUCCUCGGAGGGAAGCGAGUGGCGAACGGCUGAGUAAAACGUGGAGAACCUGCCCCCUCCCCCGGGAUAGCCGCCCGAAAGGACGGGUAAUACCGGAUACCCCGGGGUGCCGCAUGGCACCCUGGCUAAAGCCCCGACGGGAGGGGAUGGCUCCGCGGCCCAUCAGGUAGACGGGGGGGUGACGGCCCACCGUGCCGACAACGGGUAGCCGGGUUGAGAGACCGACCGGCCAGAUUGGGACUGAGACACGGCCCAGACUCCUACGGGAGGCAGCAGUGGGGAAUCUUGCGCAAUGGGGGGAACCCUGACGCAGCGACGCCGCGUGCGGGACGGAGGCCUUCGGGUCGUAAACCGCUUUCAGCAGGGAAGAGUCAAGACUGUACCUGCAGAAGAAGCCCCGGCUAACUACGUG
Molecule: ribosomal RNA, 459 nt
Filed under: uncultured bacterium
Lineage: Bacteria
Description: partial 16S ribosomal RNA
Rfam family: Bacterial small subunit ribosomal RNA
Source: RNAcentral